This 774-nucleotide ribosomal RNA is filed under the name uncultured Neocallimastigales. Its description in RNAcentral is "partial large subunit ribosomal RNA". It matches the Rfam family "Eukaryotic large subunit ribosomal RNA", at positions 24 to 620 of the family's 3401-position model. The record is from RNAcentral. Lineage: Eukaryota; Fungi; Neocallimastigomycota; Neocallimastigomycetes; Neocallimastigales.
GUAGUCUCGCACAGAUGCAUAUCAAUAAGCGGAGGAAAAGAAACUAACAAGGAUUCCCUCAGUAACGGCGAGUGAAGCGGGAAGAGCUCAAAUUUGAAAUCUUGAAAGGUCACCUUUCACGAAUUGUAGUUUAAAGAAGUGUUUUCUGUUACGAUCGUAAUAUAAGUUCUUUGGAAUAGGACAUCACAGAGGGUGAGAAUCCCGUCUAUGAUUGCGAUUUGUAGCUUUGUGAUACACUUUCAAAGAGUCGGGUUGUUUGGGAAUGCAGCCCAAAACGGGAGGUAAAUUUCUUCUAAGGCUAAAUAUUGGCGAGAGACCGAUAGCGAACAAGUACCGUGAGGGAAAGAUGAAAAGAACUUUGAAAAGAGAGUUAAACAGUACGUGAAAUUGUCAAAAGGGAAGCGUUUGACACCAGUGUUGUUUUCUCGAAAAUCAAUUAAAAAGAGUUAGAUUUUGUUGUGUAUUGACCUUAACAGCUUGCAUUUCAAUUUUCUUGCUUUUUUUAAUGCACUUUUCGUUUAACAAGUCAACAUCAGUUUCUUUUGUUGUAAAAAGGUCAUUGGAAGGUGGCUUUCUUUUCGGAGAAAGUGUUUAUAGCCUUUGACUCCUGCAAUCGGAGAGACUGAGGUCUGCAGCGUAGAUCCUUCGGGGUUAGAUACAUUUGUGCUAAGUUAUAGCUUUUUAUAGACAACUUGUUGACUAUGAUUAGUCUUGUAGCUUACUCGCUUAUGCUAUUUUACCUACGCUUAGGAUGUUGAAGAUGUAGCACAUCAU